UCUUGGUCAUUUAGAGGAAGUAAAAGUCGUAACAAGGUUUCNGUAGGUGAACCUGCGGAAGGAUCAUUAUCGUAAAACGGGGGCANGGAAGGCUGUCGCUGACCUUUGAACGGUCGUGCACGCCAGAAGUGCCCUCGCACACAAUCCACCUCACCCCUUGUGCAUCACCGCGUGGGGGCUCCUUUUGGCUCGUUCCAAAGGGGUGCUCACGUUUUCACACAAACUCGAGGCAGUGUAGAAUGUCUCUUUUUUGCGAUGACACGCAAUCAAUACAACUUUCAACAACGGAUCUCUUGGUUCUGGCAUCGAUGAAGAACGCAGCGAAAUGCGAUAAGUAAUGCGAAUUGCAGAAUUCAGUGAAUCAUCGAAUCUUUGAACGCACCUUGCGCCCCUUGGCAUUCCGAGGGGCACACCCGUUUGAGUGUCGUGAAAUUCUCAAAAACCCCUUCCUUUGGUGGAAAGGAUUUUGGACUUGGAGGCCUUUUGCUGGUUUCACCUUGAAGCGAGCUCCUCCCAAAUGGAUUAGCGGGGUCUGCUUUGCUGAUCCUUGACGUGAUAAUACAUUUCUACGUCUUGGGUUUCUGCACUGUACCUCUGCUUCUAACCGUCUCAUUGACAACGAUGGUGUUCCGGUCACCGCCGAUUCAUCGGUGGGAGGCUUGACCCACAAAACGACCU
Molecule: ribosomal RNA, 678 nt
Filed under: fungal sp. 1 CC 09-43
Lineage: Eukaryota; Fungi
Description: eukaryotic LSU rRNA
Rfam family: 5.8S ribosomal RNA (bases 274-427)
Source: RNAcentral